RNAcentral lists this ribosomal RNA (497 nucleotides) under uncultured bacterium. Its description in RNAcentral is "partial 16S ribosomal RNA". It matches the Rfam family "Bacterial small subunit ribosomal RNA", at positions 28 to 507 of the family's 1533-position model. The record is from RNAcentral.
GAUGAACGCUGGCGGCGUGCCUAAUACAUGCAAGUCGAGCGAACGGACGAGAAGCUUGCUUCUCUGAUGUUAGCGGCGGACGGGUGAGUAACACGUGGAUAACCUACCUAUAAGACUGGGAUAACUUCGGGAAACCGGAGCUAAUACCGGAUAAUAUUUUGAACCGCAUGGUUCAAAAGUGAAAGACGGUCUUGCUGUCACUUAUAGAUGGAUCCGCGCUGCAUUAGCUAGUUGGUAAGGUAACGGCUUCCCAAGGCAACGAUUCAUAGCCGACCUGAGAGGAUGACCGGCCACACUGGAACUGAGACACGGUCCAGACUCCUACGGGAGGCAGCAGUAGGGAAUCUUCCGCAAUGGGCGAAAGCCUGACGGAGCAACGCCGCGUGAGUGAUGAAGGUCUUCGGAUCGUAAAACUCUGUUAUUAGGGAAGAACAUAUGUGUAAGUAACUGUGCACAUAUUGACGUUACCUAAUCAGAAAGCCACGGCUAACUACGUG